AUACGGAGGAUGCGAGCGUUAUCCGGAUUUAUUGGGUUUAAAGGGAGCGUAGGUGGGAUAUUAAGUCAGCUGUGAAAGUUUGGGGCUCAACCUUAAAAUUGCAGUUGAUACUGGUUUCCUUGAGUACGGUACAGGUGGGCGGAAUUCGUGGUGUAGCGGUGAAAUGCUUAGAUAUCACGAAGAACUCCGAUCGCGAAGGCAGCUCACCGGGCCGGAACUGACACUGAUGCUCGAAAGUGCGGGUAUCAAACAGGAUUAGAUACCCUGGUAGUCCGCACAGUAAACGAUGGAUACUCGCUGUCGGCGAUAUACGGUCGGUGGCCAAGCGAAAGCGUUAAGUAUCCCACCUGGGGAGUACGCCGGCAACGGUGAAACUCAAAUGAAUUGACGGGG
This 393-nucleotide ribosomal RNA is filed under the name uncultured bacterium. Its description in RNAcentral is "partial 16S ribosomal RNA". It matches the Rfam family "Bacterial small subunit ribosomal RNA", at positions 523 to 918 of the family's 1533-position model. The record is from RNAcentral.